GGGGCUGUGGCUCAGUGGUAGAGCACUUGCCUGGCAUGUGUGAGGCACUGGGUUCAAUUCUCAGCACCA
RNAcentral lists this transfer RNA (69 nucleotides) under Ictidomys tridecemlineatus (thirteen-lined ground squirrel). RNAcentral describes it as "Spermophilus tridecemlineatus (thirteen-lined ground squirrel) tRNA". It matches the Rfam family "tRNA". Rfam says of the family: Transfer RNA (tRNA) molecules are approximately 80 nucleotides in length. Their secondary structure includes four short double-helical elements and three loops (D, anti-codon, and T loops). The record is from Rfam by way of RNAcentral. Lineage: Eukaryota; Metazoa; Chordata; Mammalia; Rodentia; Sciuridae.